This 1394-nucleotide small RNA is filed under the name Pan troglodytes (chimpanzee). RNAcentral describes it as "retained intron". The record is from RNAcentral. Lineage: Eukaryota; Metazoa; Chordata; Mammalia; Primates; Hominidae.
GGGCCGGCGACUCGAAGUGGACUUCCGGGUCACGGCGGAGCGGGCUCUCACGUGGAGGCGGGGAAAUUUCGCCCACCGGAAUGAUCACCAAGACACACAAAGUAGACCCUGGGCUCCCAGAGAAGAAAAAGAAGAAGAAAGUGGUCAAAGAACCAGAGACUCGAUACUCAGUUUUAAACAAUGAUGAUUACUUCGCUGAUGUUUCUCCUUUAAGAGCCACAUCCCCCUCUAAGAGUGUGGCCCAUGGGCAGGCACCUGAGAUGCCUCUAGUGAAGAAAAAGAAGAAGAAAAAGAAGGGUGUCAGCACCCUUUGCGAGGAGCAUGUAGAACCUGAGACCACGCUGCCUGCCAGACGGACAGAGAAGUCACCCAGCCUCAGGAAGCAGGUGCUUGGCCACUUGGAGUUCCUCAGUGGGGAAAAGAAAAAUAAGAAGUCACCUCUAGCCAUGUCCCAUGCCUCUGGGGUGAAAACCUCCCCAGACCCUAGACAGGGUGAGGAGGAAACCAGAGUUGGCAAGAAGCUCAAAAAACACAAGAAGGAAAAAAAGGGGGCCCAGGACCCCACAGCCUUCUCAGUCCAGGACCCUUGGUUCUGUGAGACCAGGGAGGCCAGGGAUGUUGGGGACACUUGCUCAGUGGGGAAGAAGGAUGAGGAACAGGCAGCCUUGGGGCAGAAACGGAAGCGGAAGAGCCCCAGAGAACACAAUGGGAAGAUGAAGAAGAAAAAAAAAAUCCACCAGGAGGGAGACGCCCUCCCAGGCCACUCCAAGCCCUCCAGGUCCAUGGAGAGCAGCCCUAGGAAAGGAAGUAAAAAGAAGCCAGUCAAAGUUGAGGCUCCGGAAUACAUCCCUAUAAGUGAUGACCCUAAGGCCUCCGCAAAGAAAAAGAUGAAGUCCAAAAAGAAGGUAGAGCAGCCAGUCAUCGAGGAGCCAGCUCUGAAAAGGAAGAAAAAGAAGAAGAGGAAAGAGAGUGGGGUAGCAGGAGACCCUUGGAAGGAGGAAACAGACACAGACUUAGAGGUGGUGUUGGAAAAAAAAGGCAACAUGGAUGAGGCGCACAUAGACCAGGUGAGGCGAAAGGCCUUGCAAGAAGAGAUCGAUCGCGAAUCAGGCAAAACGGAAGCUUCUGAAACCAGGAAGUGGACGGUAAGUUUGGGGCUAGGGCUCUGCAAGGAGGUGGCACGCUCGGCCUCCCAACGCUUCCCCUCGCCUCCAGCAUGAGGAGUGGAGGAGGAGAACCAAGUAUGUCCAGGCCCCAGAGGCAGCCCUAGCCUGCAGCUGGCUCCCUCCACAGCAGAAUUUGUCCUGAGCUAAUUUCCUUCCUUCUGAAAAGGGCGCUUGCCUCCCUCCUAGAGAGCUGGCCCGGUGAGAUAAGCUGCCUGAACCUUUGUCUCA